UGCGCAGGCGGCUUCUCAAGUCAGGGGUGAAAGCCCAGAGCUCAACUCUGGAAUUGCCUUUGAGACUGAGUGGCUUGAGUACGGAAGAGGUGAGUGGAAUUCCCAGUGUAGAGGUGAAAUUCGUAGAUAUUGGGAAGAACACCGGUGGCGAAGGCGGCUCACUGGUCCGUAACUGACGCUCAUGCACGACAGCGUGGGGAUCAAACA
Molecule: ribosomal RNA, 207 nt
Filed under: uncultured bacterium
Lineage: Bacteria
Description: partial 16S ribosomal RNA
Rfam family: Bacterial small subunit ribosomal RNA
Source: RNAcentral